AGUGAACGCUGGCGGUAGGCCUAACACAUGCAAGUCGAACGGCAGCACAGUAAGAGCUCGUUCUUACGGGUGGCGAGUGGCGGACGGGUGAGGAAUACAUCGGAAUCUACUUUUUCGUGGGGGAUAACGUAGGGAAACUUACGCUAAUACCGCAUACGACCUACGGGUGAAAUCAGGGGAUCUUCGGACCUUGCGCGAUUCAAUGAGCCGAUGUCGGAUUAGCUAGUUGGCGGGGUAAAGGCCCACCAAGGCGACGAUCCGUAGCUGGUCUGAGAGGAUGAUCAGCCACACUGGAACUGAGACACGGUCCAGACUCCUACGGGAGGCAGCAGUGGGGAAUAUUGGACAAUGGGCGCAAGCCUGAUCCAGCCAUGCCGCGUGGGUGAAGAAGGCCUUCGGAUUGUAAAGCCCUUUUAUUGGGGAAGAAAAGCAGCAGGUUAAUACCCCGCUGUUCUGACGGUACCCAAAGAAUAAGCACCGGCUAACUUCGUG
RNAcentral lists this ribosomal RNA (492 nucleotides) under uncultured bacterium. RNAcentral's name for it is "partial 16S ribosomal RNA". It matches the Rfam family "Bacterial small subunit ribosomal RNA", at positions 29 to 507 of the family's 1533-position model. The record is from RNAcentral.